ACCUUGUACUCAUACAUGUAUCAUAUAAACCAGUUACGUAUAUUAUACCAUCUCAAUUGGAGGUAUCUCAUAAGAGUUUCUCACAAUUAAAAAAAUAAAAAUAAUGAAAAUGAAGGAGAGAGAGUGUAGAAAGUUUCUCACUUGAGAAACUCUAAGAUACUCUCAACAACCUAUCAUGACAAUUCUCAUCUCACUAUUGGUUCAAUUUUUUAAU
RNAcentral lists this small RNA (214 nucleotides) under Arabidopsis thaliana (thale cress). RNAcentral's name for it is "ATSL078940". Lineage: Eukaryota; Viridiplantae; Streptophyta; Magnoliopsida; Brassicales; Brassicaceae. The record is from RNAcentral.